RNAcentral lists this ribosomal RNA (427 nucleotides) under uncultured bacterium. RNAcentral's name for it is "partial 16S ribosomal RNA". It matches the Rfam family "Bacterial small subunit ribosomal RNA", at positions 354 to 796 of the family's 1533-position model. The record is from RNAcentral.
GUGGGGAAUAUUGGGCAAUGGGGGAAACCCUGACCCAGCGACGCCGCGUGAGGGAAGAAGGCCUUAGGGUCGUAAACCUCUGUUGUGUGGGAAGAAGAGCGUGACGGUACCACACGAGGAAGUCCCGGCUAACUACGUGCCAGCAGCCGCGGUAAUACGUAGGGGACGAGCGUUGUCCGGAUUUACUGGGCGUAAAGGGCGCGUAGGCGGUCAUUUAAGUCAGCUGUGAAAUGGUUUGGCUUAACCGGAUCAUGGGGUGGAAACUGGAUGACUGGAGUGCUGGAGAGGCAAGUGGAAUUCCCAGUGUAGCGGUGAAAUGCGUAGAUAUUGGGAAGAACACCGGUGGCGAAGGCGACUUGCUGGCCAGCAACUGACGCUGAGGCGCGAAAGCCAGGGGAGCAAACGGGAUUAGAAACCCGGGUAGUCC